Phrynosoma platyrhinos (Desert horned lizard) is the source of this 72-nucleotide non-coding RNA. The record is from the annotation of a GenBank genome assembly. NCBI's taxonomy places the organism in Eukaryota, Metazoa, Chordata, Lepidosauria, Squamata, Phrynosomatidae.
GUCUGCAUGGCAUAGUGGUUAGAGUGUUAGACCAUGAUUCUGGAGACCAGGUUUCGAAUCCUCACUUGGCCA